This 76-nucleotide transfer RNA is filed under the name Lentisphaerota bacterium. RNAcentral describes it as "tRNA-Glu". It matches the Rfam family "tRNA". Rfam says of the family: Transfer RNA (tRNA) molecules are approximately 80 nucleotides in length. Lineage: Bacteria; Pseudomonadati; Lentisphaerota. RNAcentral also lists the same sequence under 3 other names. The record is from RNAcentral.
GUCCCUAUCGUCUAGAGGCCUAGGACACCGGGUUUUCAUCCCGGCAACGGGGGUUCGAAUCCCCCUGGGGAUGCCA